This is a long non-coding RNA of Aplysia californica (California sea hare), 685 nucleotides long. RefSeq lists it as uncharacterized. The record is from RefSeq and is a predicted model, not a curated record. The transcript is spliced from 3 exons. Lineage: Eukaryota; Metazoa; Mollusca; Gastropoda; Aplysiida; Aplysiidae.
CCUAGUGCAAAGGAGUACCGAGGUAACCAGAUGGCAAGUGGAGGCACAAGGCAAGUUCAUCAAUGCUUUGGUGAACCAGUGGUACAUUGGGGACAAUAAUGUCCGUGUGGCUGUGGUGCUUUAUGAUAGUGACGUCUAUGAGGAAAUCCAUCUGACAGAUUUCAGAAAUAACCGACACGGUCUGAAAAACAAAAUUUCUCACGUCACUAGAGAUGUGCACACAUCGGGUCACCAGAAUCUAGCUAAGGCCUUGGACUUCACCAGACAGCAUUCUUUCCGGUUUGCCCGGCCUGGGGUAGAGAAAGUGGUGUUUGCCAUUGCCCACGGCAUCUCUCACAGUCACGCCGAUGACAGAAAGAGAGCUGCCGACGCCCUCAAGGCCGACUGUGUCUCUGUCCUUGGUAAGAUAGAAUAUAUUCUGCUACAUGUAUACUCAUGGAUUUGUAUUAUAAUAAUUAUUAUACCGUUACACUGUACUAGACCUGUGCAUUCCUAACUACAGCAUACUAAUCAGGUAAUGUUGGAAGGCGGUGCCGGUCGGGAUCACCCUGGCUGUGACGUGUUAUUAAAAUGUGUUUGCCCCACUGGGAAAUACCUGUAGGUGGGUGGUACCAUAGCGUGGUUAAAAAUUCGUGAGGUAACCCAUUGUCAAAUAUCUCCUUAUAUAUUAACUAUUGAACAUAGA